AGCUCGGUGUCCACCCUGAUUUUAUGUUUCUGAACCUCCAGGGCUAUAUUGUAGCAAGCAGACGGCUCCGUCUGGUCGUUGACUUGAGCAGUUUUAGUUUGGGGAUAACUGGUGAGUGGUAUAGGUUGAGGCCUUCAUAUGUGGCGAGGGCCUCACUGUUUGCUUCUCUCCAAAAAAACGACCUCGUCAGCACUUGCUUCGCUGAAAAGAGCGCCAGCGACAAAGUACAAGAGAAAAGUUGACGCUGCUGACCUUUCUGUUGCUUUCAUUUUUCAUGUAAAUUACAACGCGCAUAGGAAAAUAGGGCUGAUCUAGGAUUGGUUAGAUGACGUCUCUCUUAUUUAUAUCAACAGAGUUGGGAAAUAUCACGGUCUGGAUUAAGAUUUCAUUUAUAAUAUUUGAGACAUAAAUUUUUAUUUUGUUAAUGAUACAAUCAUUCGAGUAUUAAAAAAAAAUUUAUUUAUUUUAUAUUUUAUUAGUAAUUAUAAAUAGUAAAAACAUUUAUAAUUCAUUUUUCUAACAAUUUUUAAAAACAUUAAACAUAUUGUAGUUACCUAUUUUGAAUAUUUAUUAUGAACAUUUGUUAAUAACACUAGUUUACAAUAGUUAAUUAUUUAAAUUGACACAAAAACACCUAAUAUUAACACACGUAUAUGAAACUUAUCAAAAUAUCAGAUGAAUAUUUUUAACAAGAUAUUAUUUGGGUUUAACAAAUAGUUAUUUGAAUGAAUUCCAUUUUAGUUAAUACUAGCAGUUAUUAUAAAAAGGUUAGACAAACGUAGAUUUCAUACAAUCUUUUUUUUCUAAAAGUUGACAUGAAUUCAAAUUAGUUUACUUGACUUAUUAAAACAAUUGAUAAAUAUAUAAUACAUGAUCUGAUAAUGCUUGCACAUCUUUUAAGUUUUACUUUUCUUGGAAAAUGUGUUGUAAGGGAAUACAUAAUAUUGUCGUUAUGGUCAGGUCAAAAUUUAUGAUAUAAUUGUAUUAAAGAGUUAAUAUGCAACAAUUA
Phymastichus coffea is the source of this 1009-nucleotide long non-coding RNA. RefSeq lists it as uncharacterized. Lineage: Eukaryota; Metazoa; Arthropoda; Insecta; Hymenoptera; Eulophidae. The transcript is spliced from 3 exons. The record is from RefSeq and is a predicted model, not a curated record.